CUAUUCUCUGUUACGAUCCUGCGACAAGUAUCAUCACAGGAGUGGCUGCGAUGCCCAGACCAGUGUCCUACCAUGGCUGUGUGACUAUUCAUAGAUACAAUGAGAAAUGCUUUAAGCUCUAACAAUACCUCACACAAGAAGCCAAUGCCAAUCCAAGAGGAAAGUUUUUAAAACGACCAUGUGCGAACACAACUUUGUGCCAUCUGCAAAAAAGAAAUAAAUAAUCCUGUUGCCUUUCUGACCCAAACACCAGACUUCAAGCUGUCAAAUGUCAGUCCUUUUCUGUAAUGGGGUGGGGUGGAUUACAGUGAGCCAGGACCUGCGUCUAUCCCAGCACCCAGAAGGCAGGUUUCUAUACUUUUGAACCCAGCCUGGUCUGCAUAAAAUGUUCUAGGCCAGCAAAAGUAAGAAUUUGGCCUAUGAUUAUACUUUUGCAUUUUUGAAAAACUAGGUGGGGUAGGCAGUAAUGCCCAGUGUAAACUUCUUAGGGAUUUGUGGACCCUCUUUCAGGAAUGUGUCCUUUUUUUGUCAGUUUUGUAGAAAAUAUUGCAUGACUGAAGCUUCAUUUAGGUUGAAUUGCCUGAUGUUAAGAAUGUUUAGAACUCAUUGUGAGGGGAGGAAAUGAGUUUGUUUGUUCGUUGUUUUAACCAUUUAUUUAAGUUAUGUGCAUUGGUGAAAGGGGAUCAGAUCCCUUGGAACUAGAGUUACAGACAGUUAUGAACUGCCCUGCCAUGUGGGUGCUGGAAAUUGAACCCCAGACCUCUGGAAAAACAGACCGUGCUCUUAACCACUGAACCAUCUCUCUCCAGCCCCCAGAAAUGAGUUUUAAAUAUCUGUCACGGACUUUAUCCCUGCCGGUUAAUUUUAUUGAAGGCUUUUUGGGGUUUUGUUUGUUUUUUCCUAAUUAUAAAAGUGUAGUAACAAUUCAGCUACCAUAAAACACCAAAUUUUAUGACUGUAUAGACUGUUCUCUGAUAUUAAAUACUUUGUGAGCUUAUGUAGGAGAUAGAAAAGUAAGAAAAUUUAAAUUAUACAUUAGUCCCUAAGGAAAAAUUAAAGUAACUAUUGAAAAAAAAAAUGUGAUCCACUUUGGUUCUCAGGGUAUUUAAUGAAUCAUCUGUGAGUCCACUAAAGGAGUUCUUCCCUCUAAACUAAUCUAGGAGCUAACGUCCCGCUUACGGGCAGGCGGGUGUCUGUGUCCAGGGUGUUUCCCAGGCAUGGCAGUGCACACCCGUGUCCAGGGUCUGGAAGGUACAUCGAAAGAAACCAAAUGGGCUGGACAGAGUGUUAGUGAACACUCACUGCUCCCAGCCCCUAUCAGGUGGCUCACUAAUUUCUGCAGCUCUAAUUCCAGGGAAUCGUAACACCUUCUGGCCUCCCUAGAUAUCUACAAGCAUGUGGUGCACAUACAUUCACACAGGCACACAUGUAUGUAAAAGAGAUAUAUCUUAAGACAAAUAUGCAUUUUGUAAUACUGAAAAAAAAAGAAAGAAAGGCAAGAGCAGGUUUGCUCCCUACCCAGUCUGGCAGAGUUUGAUCUUACGAUGCUUUGUGAGUGCCACUCCGCUCGCUCGUUCACUGCCAUGUAAGCAGUUGUCAGUCUAGGAAGGCUGACUGAUUCCUUAACAUCCUACAGUCACUCUUCUCAGUGGGGCCACGUGUUUGUGACUCUGACCAGCAGCAGUUCUGGUCUUCAGAGAGAAAUCUCUUAUUGGGGAGAGCUCUUUUAUUUGUAUAAAAUACUGAUCAACAUUUUCAGAUUUCUAUUAAAGUUUUCCCUCAGGUUCUUCACCUCCAUUUUAUAAAACUUAGUACUUUUCAAAGGGAAAUGUGAAAUUUUUCUUAGAAAUAUAAGUAAAUACAGCAGGAAUUAGCAUAACUAAUUAUUGUAACUUCUGUGUGGACAGAUAACGAUUUACAAUGCCCUAGGCUGCAGCAGGUCUCUCACUAUAAUAUACUCCUUGUUGAUGACAAUAGUGUCACUAGAUUUCUGUUCACGUUAAGGCAGUCAUCAAAGCCUAGCAUUGGCAGACAACUUCUUUCUCAGCUUAGGAGAAUACAAACGUUUUUAAGAGUCAUGCUUAAUUGGAAUCCAAAUUCUGAGAAAAAUGCUUACAAGGUAUAUUUGGGAAAUUGUUGUCACGUCAUAAAUGGUGAGUAAUGUAACACAGCUAAGGAAGCAGCUCCGAAACAGUCAUCUGUCAGUCGACAGACAGACGUACGGAUAGUCAAGGGUAUCUGUACUGUAAUUUUAUAGUAAAUAUCUUCAUUAGACUUCUGUUAGAGAAUGGAGAUUGUUUGGUUCAGAAAUUCUUAAACAGUAAAGUGUGUGAAUAAAGGUGUUUUAUAAAUGCUUAGGACUCUGCAGAUGCUAACUGUUAUGUAUGUGUGUAAGAUCAUGCCCAUUCAUAAAUACAUAUAUAAAACUCGGUCAAAAUAAAUUUGUAUCUUAGUAUUUUUGUCUGUUGUAAAAGUAUUAUCUACUUGUAUCUUGUAAUGUUUAUCUUUCAUAUAUCUUGUUUAUUGUAAAUUGGAAAAAAAUCCUCAAAAUCAGAAUUUGUUUAAACACAUUACUUUUUCUUUAUGUUGCAAAUUAUAUUAAAAGUUACCAGAAAGUACCUGAAUCCUAGAAAAUUAACUUUUUAAAGAUACCCAGUUGAUAUUUUAACUUCCUUUAAUUUCUUUUCUUUGCUAAUUCUUGAUAAAUAAUGGUGGUAAGCCCCGGUUUAAGAAAAAUAAUUUUAGAGUAUAAUUAGUGCAUUAAAAGGGAUACAUCAACCA
This 2781-nucleotide long non-coding RNA is filed under the name Rattus norvegicus (Norway rat). RNAcentral's name for it is "long non-coding RNA NONRATT007162". Lineage: Eukaryota; Metazoa; Chordata; Mammalia; Rodentia; Muridae. The record is from RNAcentral.